UACCAGCUCUCCGAGUGGUGUGGAUGUUUAUUGGGCCUAAAGCAUCCGUAGCUGGCUGGACAAGUCCCCUGUUAAAUCCACCGAUUUAAUCGUUGGUGUGCGGGGGAUACUGUUCGGCUAGGGGACGGGAGAGGCCGACGGUAUUUCCGGGGUAGGGGUGAAAUCCUAUAAUCCCGGGAAGACCACCAGUGGCGAAGGCUGUCGGCUAGAACGCGCCCGACGGUGAGGGAUGAAAGCUGGGGGAGCGAACCGGAUUAGAUACCCGGGUAGUCCCAGCUGUAAACGAUGCAGGCUAGGUGUUUGGGCGGCCACGAGCCGCUCUAGUGCCGCAAGGAAGCUGUUAAGCCUGCCGCCUGGGGAGUACGGCCGCAAGGCUGAAACUUAAAGGAAUUGGCGGGGGAGCACCACAAGGGGUGAAGCUUGCGGUUU
Molecule: ribosomal RNA, 429 nt
Filed under: uncultured archaeon
Lineage: Archaea
Description: bacterial SSU rRNA
Rfam family: Archaeal small subunit ribosomal RNA
Source: RNAcentral